This 80-nucleotide transfer RNA is filed under the name Enterococcus mundtii. Its description in RNAcentral is "tRNA-???(taat)". It matches the Rfam family "tRNA". Rfam says of the family: Transfer RNA (tRNA) molecules are approximately 80 nucleotides in length. Their secondary structure includes four short double-helical elements and three loops (D, anti-codon, and T loops). The record is from RNAcentral. Lineage: Bacteria; Bacillati; Bacillota; Bacilli; Lactobacillales; Enterococcaceae.
UGUACCCUUAGCUCAGUUAGGCAGAGCAUAUGGCGAGUUAAUAACCGUCCGGUCGUAGGUUCGAGUCCUACAGGGUACAU